GAUGAAGAACGUAGUGAAAUGCGAUAAGUAGUGUGAAUUGCAGAAUUCAGUGAAUCAUCGAAUCUUUGAACGCACAUUGCGCCCUUUGGUAUUCCAAAGGGCAUGCCUGUUCGAGCGUCAUUUGUACCCUCAAGCUUUGCUUGGUGUUGGGCGUCUUGUCUCUAGCUUUGCUGGAGACUCGCCUUAAAGUAAUUGGCAGCCGGCCUACUGGUUUCGGAGCGCAGCACAAGUCGCACUCUCUAUCAGCAAAGGUCUAGCAUCCAUUAAGCCUUUUUUUCAACUUUUGACCUCGGAUCAGGUAGGGAUACCCGCUGAGUUUAAGCAUAUCAAUAAGCGGAGGA
This 341-nucleotide unclassified non-coding RNA is filed under the name soil metagenome. RNAcentral's name for it is "partial contains 5.8S ribosomal RNA, internal transcribed spacer 2, and large subunit ribosomal RNA". The stretch from base 1 to 120 matches the Rfam family "5.8S ribosomal RNA", at positions 35 to 154 of the family's 154-position model. The record is from RNAcentral.